UGGAAAGUUCCAUGGACAGAGGAUCCUGGCAGGCUACAGUCCAUGGGGUUGCAAAAAGUCAGAGCCGUGAAGAAACCACCAUUUACUUGGGCCAUAAAAUCCCUCUUCAGAACAGAGAUGUCGCCCUCAGACCUGCCAGGAAAGAACGGUGCUGACCACAGGAGCCACCAGAAGCUUACCCCAUGUCUGAGCACUCACGGCGGCCUUCACCCUCUCUGGGUCUGCAGUGUGGUUGGGUGAGGAGUGGGGUCUCACGAUGCUACCAUGAGACCAUUACAGCCUUUGCACUGCGCAGGGAAGACCCUGUUUGAGACCUGGUGAGAGUUUGGUACCCGUUUCCCAUACAGUGCAGUGAGACCACCAAAUGCCAGGACUCAGAGGGGCAUCUUUCACGGAACCUUCCCUGUCCAUCUUCUCUGGGGGUGGAGAGCAGUAUAUCGGAAAGACUGCUCUCAAAAAAAUAAAAAUUAAAAAGAAAUAAAAAUUUUUAAAAAAGAAA
Long non-coding RNA from Bubalus bubalis (water buffalo), 499 nucleotides. RefSeq lists it as uncharacterized. The transcript has 2 exons. The record is from RefSeq and is a predicted model, not a curated record. Lineage: Eukaryota; Metazoa; Chordata; Mammalia; Artiodactyla; Bovidae.